CCAUAGAUAAUGUUUUCCAUUCUACUUUAGUUAGCUGUUAGCUGUCGAGCUCAUGUGCAAUUAAAAUUAUUGUACUAGUUUGUUUACGUUUGUAUAUUUUUAUCGAAAAUGGAUUGCUGUAAGAAGGGAGGAUCUCAAACCGUUGUUAAACAAUGCAAAUUCACAAAGAAAGAUGGCACUGUAGUAGAUUGUGAAUGUAUCUGUACCUGCAAUUGUGGAGAUGACUGUAAAUGCGAAAACUGUCCUUGCAAAAAUGGCAAUUGCUGCUCUGAGGAAACAGUAAAGUUAGGGCCUGAUGGAAAAUAUCAUUGCACUUGGGAAUGCAAAUGUUAGUAAUGUAGGGCUUCAUUUUAUCUCAUACAGUGCGGUGGAAUAAGUGUUGCCCCCCCCCUGUUUACUUGUUUAUUUUAAGAAUAUAAGCAAAACUCUCGGACAGGUCGAUUUUUAAACUAAUCGUAGUAUAUUAUAGCAUCAACGUUUCGAACUUUACGCGAUCCCUCUUUAGGUGACAGGCAUAACUUUGAUUUUUUUAAAUGGUAAAGUACAUCAUGUGACACCUCAUUUAACAGCUUCUAAAAUACUGAUUUCAAAAAUGUAUAAUACUUUAAUCUUUUUUGAGAUCGCAGGCCCAAAAUUUCGGUCGAACUCUUUUUAAACGCAUUUAUUUUUUUCGAAUUCUGAGAAAACUAAUAAGUAUUUCUGAAAAAUUUAAACGCAGAAUGAAAUAUUAGGUUAUUACCGAGGGCUAACAGUCCCUUAGAAUAAACAGAAGGUUUCUUUUGAAUGAUAUAUUUGAAAUUAAAAAUCACACUAAAUUUUCUCUUUUUUCCACCACUGUGAGUUAUUAAAUUAAACAUUAUAGGAGUUCUCAGGGGCUUUGGACCAUCGAGAAUACUGUAGUAUUUCAUACUGCGUUUAAAUUUUUCAAAAAUAUUUAUUGGUUUUUUGAGGAUUCGAAAAAAAUGAUUGCAUUUAGACAGAAUUCGACCGAAAUUCUUGGCCUACGCUCUCAAACAGGAUUAAAUUAUUAUACAUUUUUGAACUCAGUAUUUUAAGAUCCUUUAAAUGAGGUGUCACGUGAUGUACUUUCCCAUUUAAAAAAUCAAAGUUAUGGCUGUCACCUGAAGAGGGAUCGCGUAAAGUUCGAAACGUUGAUGGUAUAAUAUACUAUGGUUAGUUUAAAAAUCGACCUGUCCAAGCGCUUUGCUUAUAUUCUUAAAAUAAACAAGUUAACAGGGGGGGGCAACACUUAUUCCACCGCACUGUAUAUAUUUAGUUUGUAAUUUUUUAUUGCCUUUUUUGGUAAAGACUGUAUUUUUAUAUUAAUACGUAUGUAUUGAACUAGAGUAACGAAUAAAGUUUGAAUAUUUAUA
This is a long non-coding RNA of Diabrotica virgifera virgifera (western corn rootworm), 1373 nucleotides long. RefSeq lists it as uncharacterized. NCBI's taxonomy places the organism in Eukaryota, Metazoa, Arthropoda, Insecta, Coleoptera, Chrysomelidae. The record is from RefSeq and is a predicted model, not a curated record. The transcript is spliced from 2 exons.